CUCAGGAUGAACGCUAGCUACAGGCUUAACACAUGCAAGUCGAGGGGCAUCAUGGAGUUUGCUUGCAAACUCUGAUGGCGACCGGCGCACGGGUGAGUAACGCGUAUCCAACCUUCCCUAUAGUAGAGGAUAGCCCGGCGAAAGUCGGAUUAAUACUCUAUGUUUUCCGUUGCAGACAUCUAAGAUGGAACAAAGGCUUGCCGCUAUAGGAUGGGGAUGCGUCUGAUUAGGUAGUCGGCGGGGUAACGGCCCACCGAGCCAUCGAUCAGUAGGGGUUCUGAGAGGAAGGUCCCCCACAUUGGAACUGAGACACGGUCCAAACUCCUACGGGAGGCAGCAGUGAGGAAUAUUGGUCAAUGGGCGAGAGCCUGAACCAGCCAAGUAGCGUGCCAGGACGACGGCCCUAUGGGUUGUAAACUGCUUUUAUGCGGGGAUAAAGUUCACUACGUGUAGUGUUUUGUAGGUACCGCAUGAAUAAGGACCGGCUAAUUCCGUGCCAGCAGCUGC
This 507-nucleotide ribosomal RNA is filed under the name uncultured bacterium. RNAcentral describes it as "bacterial SSU rRNA". It matches the Rfam family "Bacterial small subunit ribosomal RNA", at positions 23 to 518 of the family's 1533-position model. The record is from RNAcentral.